AACGAACGCUGGCGGCAUGCCUAACACAUGCAAGUCGAACGGGAUCCAUCCUUCGGGGUGGUGAGAGUGGCGGACGGGUGAGUAACGCGUGGGAACCUGCCCAGUGGUGGGGGAUAACUGCGGGAAACUGCAGCUAAUACCGCAUGAGCCCGAGAGGGGAAAGAUUUAUCGCCAUUGGAGGGGCCCGCGUUCGAUUAGGUAGUUGGUGGGGUAAUGGCCUACCAAGCCGACGAUCGAUAGCUGGUCUGAGAGGAUGAUCAGCCACACUGGGACUGAGAUACGGCCCAGACUCCUACGGGAGGCAGCAGUGGGGAAUAUUGGACAAUGGGGGCAACCCUGAUCCAGCAAUGCCGCGUGAGUGAUGAAGGCCUUAGGGUUGUAAAGCUCUUUUGCCAGGGACGAUGAUGACGGUACCUGGAGAAUAAGCCCCGGCCAACUUCGUGCCAGCAGCCGCGGUAAUACGAAGGGGGCAAGCGUUGUUCGGAAUUACUGGGCGUAAAGGGCGC
RNAcentral lists this ribosomal RNA (506 nucleotides) under uncultured bacterium. Its description in RNAcentral is "bacterial SSU rRNA". It matches the Rfam family "Bacterial small subunit ribosomal RNA", at positions 28 to 570 of the family's 1533-position model. The record is from RNAcentral.